Molecule: ribosomal RNA, 459 nt
Filed under: uncultured bacterium
Lineage: Bacteria
Description: partial 16S ribosomal RNA
Rfam family: Bacterial small subunit ribosomal RNA
Source: RNAcentral
CCUACGGGCGGCUGCAGUGAGGAAUAUUGGUCAAUGGGCGCGAGCCUGAACCAGCCAAGUCGCGUGAGGGAAGACGGUCCUAUGGAUUGUAAACCUCUUUUGUCGGGGAGCAAAAGACGCCACGCGUGGCGUUCCGAGAGUACCCUACGAACAAGCAUCGGCUAACUCCGUGCCAGCAGCCGCGGUAAUACGGAGGAUGCGAGCGUUAUCCGGAUUUAUUGGGUUUAAAGGGUGCGCAGGCGGAAGAUCAAGUCAGCGGUAAAAUUGAGAGGCUCAACCUCUUCGAGCCGUUGAAACUGGUUGUCUUGAGUGAGCGAGAAGUAGGCGGAAUGCGUGGUGUAGCGGUGAAAUGCAUAGAUAUCACGCAGAACUCCGAUUGCGAAGGCAGCAUACCGGCGCUCAACUGACGCUCAUGCACGAAAGUGUGGGUAUCGAACAGGAUUAGAUACCCCUGUAGUC